CUCCUAAUCCUCUCUGUACUCACGCUGGCACCGCCGUCUCCUUCUCCACUUCUACUAGAUCACUACCACCACUCCCAAAAUCUUCUAAUCCCAUUCCCAAUCCCUCCUCCAAAACCCUAACCCUUAUUCCCCAAACCUCUGCAAAUAUCACUACCAAAAACAAAGUUCUCACUUCUUUUUACUUGACUCAGGCAUUUUAACAAACACUUCAACAUGCUGCAGCUGCCGCACUUCACCUGCUGUUUCCUCCUCUUACUGCUCCCGUUGAUCACGUGCUCGAAUUCGAAGCUGACGACGGUGUACGACGUGCUGCGGGCCCACGGGCUUCCGAUGGGACUGCUGCCGAAAGGGGUCGUCGAUUUCGAGGUCGACGACGCCGGCAGGUUUACGGCCCACCUGGAUCAGGCCUGCAAUGCCAAGUUCGAGAGCGAGUUGCAUUACGACAGAAACGUUUCGGGGACGCUGAGUUUCGGGCGGAUCGGAUCCUUGUCGGGUAUUUCGGCGCAGGAGCUGUUCCUCUGGUUUCCGGUUAAGGGUAUCCGGAUCGACGUGCCCAGCUCCGGCAUCAUUUACUUCGAUGUCGGCGUCGUUUAUAAGCAGUUCUCGCUGUCGCUGUUCGAAACGCCGCCUGAUUGCACGGCCGCCUCCGGCAGCUUUGAAGCCAUUGGAACCGUUUCCAAGAGUAAAUCGGGGAAAUUGCGGUCCAAGCUCAAUUAUGAACUUGGUGGGAGAUAUUUUGGGUAGAACUUUGGAGGGAGAAGUGGAUUGGAAUUGUGAGUUCUGCAAAGUCUGGAUUAGUGUGUGUUGGGUUGAGUUUUUUUUCCGGUUUUCAAUGGCCAGUGAAUUCGAUUCGAAACCGAAGAUUGGAGGAGGCAGAGUUAAAACACAGUCAGUUUGUUGUGUCCCAGCUGCAAGAAGAUUGAGUGAGGCAGAAGAAACAAUGUGGUCAGAUGAAGCCCAAAUCAGGUCUAAAACCUUGAAGGACUCUGUGUCAGUUGUCUGAGAGGGUUAGAGCAGAUGCUUUGAUUGAUUAGUGAUGUGACUCUAAUCAGAGUAAAUUCUUUUUGCACUGGAUUUUGUUCCGGGAAGUUUCUGUCCGAUCAAAUUUUGGUUUCUUUCAUCCUUCUUUUCUUCUUUGUCAGAGCAGAAGCUCUGCAGAUGGUAUGUGUAAUAUUUUGUUCUUUGAGAAAUGUUAGGGAGAUUCUCUCAAAA
Malus domestica (apple) is the source of this 1212-nucleotide RNA transcript. RefSeq lists it as uncharacterized. Lineage: Eukaryota; Viridiplantae; Streptophyta; Magnoliopsida; Rosales; Rosaceae. The record is from RefSeq and is a predicted model, not a curated record.